UUAGGGUGAGUCCCUGAGCGUGUGAGUUGUGGGGAGGGGCAGAGGCAGAGGAGAGAGAGGAUCUCAAGCAGACUCCCCACUGAGCACAGAGCCCGAUGCAAGGCUCCAUCUCUCAACCCUGAGAUGAUGACCCGAGCUGAAAUCAAGAGUUGGACACUUAAAUCAAGAGUUAGGUGCCCUAAGGUUGUAAUUACCUUUAUUUGUUUUUGAUGGAUGAGAAAAGUGAGUUUCAAAUGCAAUCGACUUAAUUUAUACAUUUUACAAAUAAAAUGAUACAGUGAUUUUGUCCCUCCAGAUGUACUUUUCACCUUUGUCCCUACCUCCUCUGUACCCGGAGAGGCUUACCUCAGCACACCCCAUUAUGUAGGUUCCCCUGUCCUCUGGCAUUCGCUCACCUCAGCCAGGCAGAUACCAGCAGGAGACAGGAAGAGGGGAAGAGAGAGUGACCAGAGUACAGAAGGGAAGUCGACACCUAGCUUUUUCCUGGGAAACAACCCGCUAAUAAUGGUGUGUCUACGACUCUUCCUCCUCCUCCUCGCCUCUUCCUUCCUGUUAACCUCUUGUUCUCGAUGGCGAGCUACGGUGCUCCAUCCGCAUCCAACGGCCGCGCUGCGUAAACCAGACCGUACAGUGUUAUUCCCAAACCAACAGGCUUUAUUCUCUCCUUUCAGCCAACAAAUCCUCACAUGUGUUAAGAAACUGCCUCUUUGGCUCAAGAAUUCCACUCUAGAAAUUUGUAUCGAGGAGACGAGAGCCAAGAACUCAGUAUUCCCGGGACACGUGUAUCCCAGUGACCCUCUGGAAGUCUCCGAGGACUGGUCGAUGGACAUUGGAGGUCGAGGUCCCCCUGUGAGGCCUCGUCGCAUGUUGUGCCGCGGUGACUCCUGAGCAAGCUGUAAAAGUGAUAAAAUUUCAUGUGGCCCUGGGUUGGGUGAAGCAUUUUAAUCAACUGCCGGCCGGGUUAAAUCUGUCCUGCAGGAGCCUGGAUGCCAAUGCAGCUGUUAUCUGAUCAAUGAAACAAGCCGAAGGUUUAAGAGAUGCGGGGCCUGCGAUUAGGGACAGGUAAUCGGGUAACUGUCUAUUAGCAGGACAAGCCCGAUCGGUAUUGAUCAAGGAAAGGGAAAAGUCUGACUUGAUUAACAAACCCUCUCGGCGUCAAUAAAGUAAUGGUG
This 1172-nucleotide long non-coding RNA is filed under the name Canis lupus familiaris (dog). RNAcentral describes it as "lncRNA (ENSCAFG00040010797.1)". The record is from RNAcentral. Lineage: Eukaryota; Metazoa; Chordata; Mammalia; Carnivora; Canidae.